This 327-nucleotide unclassified non-coding RNA is filed under the name rhizosphere metagenome. RNAcentral describes it as "partial ribosomal RNA internal transcribed spacer region". The record is from RNAcentral.
GUAGGUGAACCUGCGGAAGGAUCAUUAUAAAACAACCCACGGGGGUGGGCUUUCCGAAAGGACAGUCACGGGCGCCUCACGCGGCGUACCCUGGUUGGCGGCGGCGGUGCCUGUCCUGUUGUGGAGGGAGUACCCCUCUACAACACGCGCUUGCGCCGUGCGCCGAUCGAGCCCUCCACCUGAAUACUACCCUUGCUUUUUGCGCACUCAUCGUUUCCUCGGCAGGCUUGCCUGCCAGUAGGACCCUUUUCAACCCUUUGCAGUUGCAGUCAGCGUCAGAAAACAACGUAAUCGUUACAACUUUCAACAACGGAUCUCUUGGUUCUG